Molecule: long non-coding RNA, 262 nt
Organism: Homalodisca vitripennis (glassy-winged sharpshooter)
Lineage: Eukaryota; Metazoa; Arthropoda; Insecta; Hemiptera; Cicadellidae
Exons: 3
Source: RefSeq, a predicted model, not a curated record
GACGUAGCAGUCUGGGCGCCGCGACGCGGCUAAAAGCGUCUCUCGCCAGUCCAGUGUCGACGCCGUGGGAGAGUUGUUGGAGUCCUACAGACAGCCAAAGGGUGCUGAAAUGUCAAUAAAGGUUGAUGAAAAUGACCCAGUUGGAGAGUUGGAGCCCAGUUUUCCCUACAGAGAUGUAACUAUCAGGAGAAAUGUUGACAUGAAGGAGUUUUACGACCUUGAAUCAGAAAUCGGCAGGAUUGUUGACAAGUGAAGUAAACUG